AAUUAAUAUUUGUAGCCUGUUUGUGGUGCGUUUUGUUGUUUUCCACGUCUCUGAUCCACACAGCAUCACCUAUUUCACAUUUGAGUUAUAGAUGCAUAUUUUGGUGUUGAUUGAGAUGUGUUUUGAGCUCCAGAUCUUCCUGAGCAUGUUAAACACCACCCUAGCCUCAUUGAUUCUACUUGUUAUGUCUGCCACUCACACACA
Long non-coding RNA from Amblyraja radiata (thorny skate), 204 nucleotides. RefSeq lists it as uncharacterized. NCBI's taxonomy places the organism in Eukaryota, Metazoa, Chordata, Chondrichthyes, Rajiformes, Rajidae. The transcript has 3 exons. The record is from RefSeq and is a predicted model, not a curated record.